This 350-nucleotide ribosomal RNA is filed under the name uncultured Desulfocapsa sp. RNAcentral describes it as "bacterial SSU rRNA". It matches the Rfam family "Bacterial small subunit ribosomal RNA", at positions 1031 to 1382 of the family's 1533-position model. The record is from RNAcentral. Lineage: Bacteria; Pseudomonadati; Thermodesulfobacteriota; Desulfobulbia; Desulfobulbales; Desulfocapsaceae.
GGAGACAGUGCUGCAUGGCUGUCGUCAGCUCGUGUCGUGAGAUGUUGGGUUAAGUCCCGCAACGAGCGCAACCCUUGUCCUUAGUUGCCAUCAUUCAGUUGGGCACUCUAAAGAGACUGCCGGUGUCAAACCGGAGGAAGGUGGGGAUGACGUCAAGUCCUCAUGGCCUUUAUGACCAGGGCUACACACGUACUACAAUGGCCGGUACAAAGGGCAGCCACUUAGCGAUAAGGAGCCAAUCCCGUAAAGCCGGUCUCAGUCCGGAUUGGAGUCUGCAACUCGACUCCAUGAAGUUGGAAUCGCUAGUAAUCGCAGAUCAGCACGCUGCGGUGAAUACGUUCCCGGGCCUU